UACGGAGGGUGCAAGCAUUGAUCGGAAUUACUGGGCGUAAAGGGUGCGUAGGCGGCCGAAAAAGUCAGAUGUGAAAUUCCGGGGCUCAACCCCGGAGCUGCAUUUGUAAACUUUUACGGUCUAGAGUACAGUUAGGGUAAACGGAAUUCCACGUGUAGCGGUGAAAUGCGUAGAUAUGUGGAAGAACACCGGUGGUGAAGACGGUUUACUGGGCUGAAACUGACGCUGAGGCACGAAAGCUAGGGGAGCAAACAGGAUUAGAAACCCCGUG
This 271-nucleotide ribosomal RNA is filed under the name uncultured bacterium. Its description in RNAcentral is "partial 16S ribosomal RNA". It matches the Rfam family "Bacterial small subunit ribosomal RNA", at positions 524 to 791 of the family's 1533-position model. The record is from RNAcentral.